UUGAAUAAGCUUGGUUUCAGACUGUUGCUGGUUCUGUAGGGCAUGUGCACGUCUGUUCCAUUUUUAUUACCACCUGUGCACUUCGUGUAGAUCUGAAUUACUCUCGAGGCAAACUCGGUCUGAGACGUUACUGAGCAUUUGAAAUGAAAUGCACAGUUUUGUCUUUAGAUAUUCAGAUCUAUGUCUUACUACACUCUACGAUACAAGUAUUUGAAGAAGGACGCACUUAUAAUGAUAUUUUACAACUUUCAACAACGGAUCUCUUGGCUCUCGCAUCGAUGAAGAACGCAGCGAAAUGCGAUAAGUAAUGUGAAUUGCAGAAUUCAGUGAAUCAUCGAAUCUUUGAACGCACCUUGCGCUCCUUGGUAUUCCGAGGAGCAUGCCUGUUUGAGUGUCAUGAAAUCCCUCAUCCUUUCGAGCUUUCUUUAAGCUGGUCAGGCUUUGGAUUCUGGGAGUUUGCUGGCUUACAUUGAGCCGGCUCUUCUUAAAUGUAUUAGCAAGAUCAUCGCUAAAUCAUGUUUGAUAUGAUAAUUAUCUAUAUCAAUAAAUGAGAUCUGGCGGAUUUCCAUUUAGGAAAAUUGAUCAAGCUUUACAAUGGUCUCAGGACAACAAAUGCUUUUGAAUCAUUUGACCUCAAAUCAGGUAGGACUACCCGCUGA
Molecule: ribosomal RNA, 659 nt
Filed under: Entoloma griseocyaneum
Lineage: Eukaryota; Fungi; Basidiomycota; Agaricomycetes; Agaricales; Entolomataceae
Description: eukaryotic LSU rRNA
Rfam family: 5.8S ribosomal RNA (bases 244-397)
Source: RNAcentral